AGUGAACGCUGGCGGUAGGCCUAACACAUGCAAGUCGAACGGCAGCACAGUAAGAGCUUGCUCUUACGGGUGGCGACUGGCGGACGGGUGAGGAAUACAUCGGAAUCUACUUUUUCGUGGGGGAUAACGUAGGGAAACUUACGCUAAUACCGCAUACGACCUACGGGUGAAAGCAGGGGAUCUUCGGACCUUGCGCGAUUGAAUGAGCCGAUGUCGGAUUAGCUAGUUGGCGGGGUAAAGGCCCACCAAGGGGACGAUCCGUAGCUGGUCGGAGAGGAUGAUCCGCCACACUGGAGCUGAGAGGCCAUCCAGAGUCCGACGGGCGGCAGCGGUGGGGACUGUUGGCAGCUGGGCGGAAGCCUGCUCCAGCCAUGCCGCGUGGGUGCAGAAGGCCUUCGGGUUGUAAAGCGCUUUUGUUGGGAAAGAAAAGCAGCAGGUUAAUCCACCGCUGUUCUGACGGUACCCAAAGAAUAAGAACCGGCUACCUUCGU
RNAcentral lists this ribosomal RNA (491 nucleotides) under uncultured bacterium. RNAcentral describes it as "partial 16S ribosomal RNA". It matches the Rfam family "Bacterial small subunit ribosomal RNA", at positions 29 to 506 of the family's 1533-position model. The record is from RNAcentral.